Molecule: transfer RNA, 75 nt
Filed under: compost metagenome
Description: tRNA-Met
Rfam family: tRNA
About the family: Transfer RNA (tRNA) molecules are approximately 80 nucleotides in length. Their secondary structure includes four short double-helical elements and three loops (D, anti-codon, and T loops).
Source: RNAcentral
GGGCCUGUAGCAUACCGGUAAAUGCAAGCGCCUCAUAAGCGACAGAUUUGGGUUCAACUCCCUUCAGGCUCACCA